This 1377-nucleotide long non-coding RNA is filed under the name Cyanistes caeruleus (blue tit). Its description in RNAcentral is "lncRNA (ENSCCEG00000008334.1)". The record is from RNAcentral. Lineage: Eukaryota; Metazoa; Chordata; Aves; Passeriformes; Paridae.
AUGCACCUCACAGAGCUGGAAGAAAAGAACGUGGAACUGAAUAAUCAGCUGUCACAGUUUCAAUCUGCUCUUCAGCAGGCCGAACUGGUCUCUUCAAGCCGUGCAGGAAAACUUCAGGAGCUCAGCACCCAGAUCCAGGCCCUGCAGGAUGCAGUGACAGAGAAGGCAGCUCAGCAGGACACUCAAGAGAAGGAGCUGCUGCAGGAGCUGGAAAAGUCCCGAGUAAGAGAACAGAGCUUGAGGGACGCUAUGAAUGUGCUGCAGGUUGAGAUGUCUGGGCUGCGUCUGAGGCUCCAGAGCUCUGAGGAAAGAGCAGAGGCCAUGGCCACACACUGUGAGGCCAUGGAGAUGGAGCUGAGGAUGGCUCAGGCUGACAACAACCAAAUCAAGGCCUGCAAUCAGGAGCUGCAGACACUGUUGGAGGAAACUCAGCAAGCAUUAUGGAGGGCAGAACACCAGAAAAUCUUUCUAAGAACGGGCCUGAAGGAAGAGGCCACUGCCCUGAAGAAAGAGGCUGUGACUGUUCGUCAGGAGAUGGAAUAUCUUCGGAGGAAACUGGAGAGCCAGGAGAAGGAAAGGAAGGAUGUGCUGCAUGAACGGGAAUUGUGCCAACAGAAGCUGAGGGGUCUGGAAAAGAAGAUGGAAACGGGUGCACCUGACACGAAGAGUCGGAAGAAGAUAAUCCAGGAAUUGGAAGUGGAGGGGGAAGAUAUGCAAGAAGAGUUGGACCAUGGGACUGCUGCUGCCUUGAAGACGAGUGGAAGAGAAGAAAUCAAAGGGACAGAGAUUGGACAGCUUCUGACUUCUGCACUGAGGAAGAGCGAAAUGGCCAAAGGGACAUUGAAGAAAAAGAUAGUGAUGCUGCAGAAAAAAUCUCCUGACAACUGCAUGAGCCAGUCUCAUGUCCAGGUGCUGCAGGAAGAGCAGAAUGAGAAGAGGGCUUUAACAGAGACACUGCUCCAAACUCAGGGAGAGCUCAGCCAAGCGUGCCAGCAGGUCCAGCAGCUCAGGCAGGAGGUGAAAGAGCAGCAAGAGAAGGAACGGACCAUCAAGGCAAAGCUGCAAGCUGAGCUGCAGGAAGCUCACAAUGAAAUGCUGGCAGUGCAGAGGAGGCACAAGGAAGACCUUCAGGGCAUCAGAGAGGAGAUGAAUGUCCUCCUCAAACAGAGGGAUGCUCUACAAAAGCAGGUGGAUGAGUUGACAUCUCAGCUGGCAGCCUCCCGAGAGUUCCAGGAAAGCACAGUUCAGAGAGCCCAGCAAGAUGUGAGCGAGGCCCAGGAACAGUGCAGCAGAAGAUGUUGGAGACUGAGCACAUCCAAAAGAGGCUGGAGGAGGCAGAAGAUCAGAAGAAGGAGCUCCAAGAGCUGCUACAGAUAA